Molecule: unclassified non-coding RNA, 377 nt
Filed under: plant metagenome
Description: partial contains 5.8S ribosomal RNA, internal transcribed spacer 2, and large subunit ribosomal RNA
Rfam family: 5.8S ribosomal RNA (bases 1-105)
Source: RNAcentral
GAAAUGCGAUAAGUAAUGUGAAUUGCAGAAUUCAGUGAAUCAUCGAAUCUUUGAACGCACCUUGCGCUCCUUGGUAUUCCUUGGAGCAUGCCUGUUUGAGUAUCAUGAAAUCUUCAAAGUAAAUCUUUGUUAACUCAAUUGGUUUCUACUUUGGUAUUGGAGGUCUUUGCAGCUUCACACCUGCUCCUCUUUGUUCAUUAGCUGGAUCUCAGUGUUAUGCUUGGUUUCACUCGGCGUGAUAAGUUAUCUAUCGCUGAGGACACUGUAAAAGGUGGCCAAGGUAAAUGCAGAUGAACCGCUUCUAAUAGUCCAUUGACUUGGACAAUACUUUUAUGAUCUGAUCUCAAAUCAGGUAGGACUACCCGCUGAACUUAAGC